This 898-nucleotide long non-coding RNA is filed under the name Bos indicus x Bos taurus (hybrid cattle). RNAcentral describes it as "lncRNA (ENSBIXG00005021686.1)". The record is from RNAcentral. Lineage: Eukaryota; Metazoa; Chordata; Mammalia; Artiodactyla; Bovidae.
UUCCUAACAAGCAUCCAGAUGUGGCUGCUGCUGGUGGUCUAUGAGCUACAUUUUUGUGGCAAGGCUCUAAAAUCCCCCUGCUAGGCAAGAGAGCCUGGUGCCCUGCCCUGUAUCCUCCCAGCCAGUUCAGAGGGCCUGACCCAAGGCUCUUGUGUGGCAGAAAUAGAGGAACUGACUGAGGCCAAGUCAGAGCAAAGAAACCUGCCUUCUGAGAUGGGCUGAGUGCUGAAGGAAGGGAAGAAGUAUCUCAUCUUGAGAAACUCAAAAUUUGCCUCUGUCUCCUGCAGUCAAGUGACUUCCACCUUGUGGGUCUGGCAGCACUCUGGCCUGUGAAGCUGAACUUUUCCAGGCUCAUCGAAUUUCUUGUGUGGAGAAGAGCACUUCCUGAUAUACAUGCAUUUUUGUCUGUCUCAGAGAGCAAGGAGUUUGUUUUAGUUACUGUUGUAACCGCAAAGCCUAAAACAGUGCCUGGCCUAUAACUGCCCUCAGUAAAUAUUUGCCAAAUGAAUGGAUGGAUAAAGAUAUGUAAUUAACUAUGAAGCGUGUUGACUGCAAACAUGGCCAGCUGCCCCAGUGUCCUUGUGGAAAGGCAGGCUCUUGCUCCUCAAAGGAUGUGGCUGAUUGUAUGAGAAAAAUGCUGUUGCCUUCACCAUGAUGGACGUGAUUGGGAACCAGAAAUUCAAGGAAUGGCUAUGGUGACUUGUUUUCACUGCUGAAAAGUAGAGGUCCAUUGGAAACCUAUCAGAAUAACUUAAAAAAUGGCAUAAACAACAGGUUAUUUGGACAUCAAUUAAGUAGCAACACCAAGAUGCUGAGAACCAAGAAUUGAAAGCUUUAUAAAGUCAAAUGUAAAUGAAGAACAAAUAAAGCAGACUAGUUUGAUUUAAUUCUUUAGAAA